UGGCGGCAGGCCUAACACAUGCAAGUCGAGCGGUAGAGAGAAGCUUGCUUCUCUUGAGAGCGGCGGACGGGUGAGUAAUGCCUAGGAAUCUGCCUGGUAGUGGGGGAUAACGUUCGGAAACGGACGCUAAUACCGCAUACGUCCUACGGGAGAAAGCAGGGGACCUUCGGGCCUUGCGCUAUCAGAUGAGCCUAGGUCGGAUUANCUAGUUGGUGAGGUAAUGGCUCACCAAGGCGACGAUCCGUAACUGGUCUGAGAGGAUGAUCAGUCACACUGGAGCUGAGACACGGUCCAGACUCCUACGGGAGGCAGCAGUGGGGAAUAUUGGACAAUGGGCGAAAGCCUGAUCCAGCCAUGCCGCGUGUGUGAAGAAGGUCUUCGGAUUGUAAAGCACUUUAAGUUGGGAGGAAGGGCAGUUACCUAAUACGUGAUUGUUUUGACGUUACCGACAGAAUAAGCACCGGCUAACUCUGUGCCAGCAGCCGCGGUAAUACAGAGGGUGCAAGCGUUAAUCGGAAUUACUGGGCGUAAAGCGCGCGUAGGUGGUUAGUUAAGUUGGAUGUGAAAUCCCCGGGCUCA
Molecule: ribosomal RNA, 579 nt
Filed under: Pseudomonas veronii
Lineage: Bacteria; Pseudomonadati; Pseudomonadota; Gammaproteobacteria; Pseudomonadales; Pseudomonadaceae
Description: bacterial SSU rRNA
Rfam family: Bacterial small subunit ribosomal RNA
Source: RNAcentral